CAUAGACCUAUGUACAUAAAUACAUACAAAUGGAUAAAGGGAGAAGAAAAAAAAUAAAUAUGCUUGAAAUGCAAGAAAUAAAAUGCAGUUACAUGUCACUUCUCAUUCCUCCACCAUCCAGUCUUUUUAUUUUCAAGUGGCAUUUUGUGGAGUGAAGGGAACCUUUGUUUCUAAGGGCCAUGUUCUCUUGGUACUUCUCUAUAGGUUUUGUGUAGUUUUUCAGGAACCAGUAUAUAUCUCCUUUCUACCUCUAUCGUUUUUCAGCAAUAUUAUUUUGCCUAGUUUUUGCAAUAUUAUUUUGACCACUCCAGGAAACAACAUAACCCUAUUUUCUUAUCUGUUUGCCUAGAGAAUAGAGUUGGAAAUAGCCAGGUAGCCCUCUUAACAGGACCAGUGACAUAAUAUGUAAAACAAAAAUGGAGGACCCUUGUUUAAAAUGUACAAAGAAUUUCAAGAUGGCAAGAAUGGAGCGUUAAGCCAAGCUUAGAACCCUUCUAAUCCUGGAGCCCUGUUGAGCUGGCUCUGAGUAUUAGUUUUGAAUUGAGUGUGACUGGUGAAAGUAUUUUGCAUCCUAUAGAUUUUAUUGCUGAAUGAAUAUAUAUUCCAUUCUCCAAGGUCAUCUUCCAGUGUGCCAUUCACACUCCCCUAUCAAGAAGUCAGAUCUGUUUCUUCCCCUUAAACCCUGAGAAAACAUCUGUCAUUGCUUUGAACAACAUAUGCUUCUUUCUAUCUCCCCUUCUGCUCUGCAAUCCUCACUUCACACACUUUGGGACCUCUGCGCUGUCAAGUAAGAAGUCCGCUUACCCUGAAAUUGCUGUGUUGGAAAGAUCAUGUGAAGAGACUGCAGAUGUUACUGCUUCCAGCUGUUCUGGUUGUCCCAGAAGAGCCAUCUUGUGAAUAUAGAAGCCAUGGAGAUGACCCAGCUUCAGCUAUAAACUGACUACAAUCUCAUGAGAAAACAACAAACUAG
RNAcentral lists this long non-coding RNA (970 nucleotides) under Marmota monax (woodchuck). The record is from RNAcentral. Lineage: Eukaryota; Metazoa; Chordata; Mammalia; Rodentia; Sciuridae.